Long non-coding RNA from Apis florea (little honeybee), 746 nucleotides. Lineage: Eukaryota; Metazoa; Arthropoda; Insecta; Hymenoptera; Apidae. The record is from RefSeq and is a predicted model, not a curated record.
CUAUACCGAAGGGUACGACAGACCAGAUGCAUAUGGUCCUCCACGUGGUGGCGGACGCUUCCCAGGUCCGGCAGACGCGAUGCCACCGAGGUACUAAAAGCGUACACUAAAGCGAAUACUAAGCGCAUGCGAAAGGCUCCCUUAAAAAAAAAAAUGCCUCUUUAGUGGUGGUCAUUCGCUUACGGAAUCGAAAACCUAGGAACUGCCCUGCGUCCGACAUACAGAGUCCAUACCAUUACAUACGAUACUAUGUAUAAUGAUAUAGAUAUGAUAUAACGAUAUAGAUACGAUCUAACGUUUAACACACUAACUUAAGGUACGGUAAGAAUAAGGAGCACAUCAAUCAGCAACAUAUGAAUGAAUUAAUGAAAUAAGCAACUACGAUUAUUUGAAGAUAAGAAAGAAGAAGAUUGAAUUCCUGACUGAAGUGAACUUUGUAAUGUGGAAUCAAGAAAUUUUAUAUAUCGUUCAUUUUUUCCAGCAGAUAGUGGAUAUAUAUUCUUUUUGUGCGAUUUGUGUUCGUAGUUUUUUUUCCUGAUAUUUCCAAUGUUUUUCUCUAUCUAUCUCUAUCUUUCUCUCUCUUUUUCUCUCUCUCUCAUAGUGGUAUAACCCAAUCCUAAAGGCACGGGUUGAAUUAUCUUUUAUCUAUCUUAAGUCACAUGGUUAUUACACAUUAGUAGGAUAGAUGAUUUCGUUAUAAGUUUGUAAUAUUUAGCAUCAGCAAAAUGGUGACUUAGGCUAUUAAA